This is a long non-coding RNA of Myotis daubentonii (Daubenton's bat), 394 nucleotides long. RefSeq lists it as uncharacterized. The record is from RefSeq and is a predicted model, not a curated record. NCBI's taxonomy places the organism in Eukaryota, Metazoa, Chordata, Mammalia, Chiroptera, Vespertilionidae.
CAGAUGAGGAAAAUGAGCCACAAAGAGCUUUCAUGCCUGGUGCAAGCAUACACACAGGUGUGUCUUCUGGUCUCAUCAGGGAAAGGCUUCAGCCAGAGCCCCAGAGCACACGUCUCCCGAUUGCGGAUUGCGAUCCUGGACCGGUUACCCAGGAGUCCUUCACCUCCUCAGUCAAAUGGGUUGUGAUCCAUCCGAGAGCCAUGAAAUCAAUUUCCUGGAUUGUGACCAAGACUUAAAAAGUGUGACCAGGAAGAGAAUGGAAAAGAAAACACCAGGAUGCAUGGUACAUGACGUCUUCCCAGCAUCUUCCCAGCAGCAGACAGAGACUCAGAGACCAGAUGCUGUUGGAAAACGCUUGCUCGAGGCAAGGUUGCCAGAAUCCUUUAAUUUGUUG